ACGGGAGGCAGCAGUGGGGAAUAUUGCACAAUGGGCGCAAGCCUGAUGCAGCAACGCCGCGUGAGGGAAGACGGUUUUCGGAUUGUAAACCUCUGUUCUUAGUGACGAAGAAGUGACUGUAGCUAAGGAGCAAGCCACGGCUAACUACGUGCCAGCAGCCGCGGUAAUACGUAGGUGGCAAGCGUUAUCCGGAAUUACUGGGUGUAAAGGGAGCGCAGGCGGGAUAGCAAGUCAGCGGUGAAAUGUCUGGGCUUAACCCCUGAACUGCCGUUGAAACUGUUAUUCUUGAGUGGAGUAGAGGCAGGCGGAAUUCCGAGUGUAGCGGUGAAAUGCGUAGAUAUUCGGAGGAACACCAGUGGCGAAGGCGGCCUGCUGGGCUCUAACUGACGCUGAGGCUCGAAAGUGUGGGGAGCAAACAGGAUUAGAUACCCUGGUA
RNAcentral lists this ribosomal RNA (436 nucleotides) under uncultured Clostridium sp. Its description in RNAcentral is "partial 16S ribosomal RNA". It matches the Rfam family "Bacterial small subunit ribosomal RNA", at positions 341 to 792 of the family's 1533-position model. The record is from RNAcentral. Lineage: Bacteria; Bacillati; Bacillota; Clostridia; Eubacteriales; Clostridiaceae.